RNAcentral lists this small RNA (684 nucleotides) under Pongo abelii (Sumatran orangutan). RNAcentral describes it as "retained intron". The record is from RNAcentral. Lineage: Eukaryota; Metazoa; Chordata; Mammalia; Primates; Hominidae.
CGGGGCUGCGGGCCCGGCGGCCGGGCUGGCUGGGCCGCGUUUGGGUUCCCGCGCCGGCUCCCGCACCCGCAAUGGGGAACUCACACCACAAGAGGAAGGCCCCCAGCGGUCCCCGGGUCCGCAGCUUCUGGCGGUUCGGGCGGUCUGCGAAGCGGCCGGCAGGCUCUGCCAAGGCUGAGAAUGACAAACGUCUAAGUGUAGGGCCCGGCCAGGGGCCAGGGUCUGCAGUGGAUGAGCACCAGGACAACGUCUUCUUUCCCAGUGGGCGACCCCCCCACCUGGAAGAGCUGCACACUCAGGCCCAGGAGGGGCUCCGCUCCCUACAACACCAAGAGAAACAGAAACUGAACAAGGGUGGCUGGGACCAUGGAGACACCCAGAGUAUCCAGUCCUCCCGGACGGGGCCGGAUGAAGACAACAUCUCCUUCUGCAGCCAGACCACAUCCUACGUGGCUGAGAGCUCCACAGCAGAGGACGCGCUCUCCAUCCGCUCGGAAAUGAUCCAGCGCAAAGGUGGAUUCAUGGGCAGGGGAGAGGGACGGUGGGCACCAUUGGGUCCCAGCAUCUGUAGCUUCUUUUCCUCCUUAUCCAGUGUUUUGCCAGGCUCUCUGAUUCAAUGAAUUCGGGAAACAUGGUACCCUGUGUCCUCUUGCACGUUCAUGAUACACACUAACUAUAAAGCAG